Molecule: long non-coding RNA, 940 nt
Organism: Micropterus salmoides (largemouth bass)
Lineage: Eukaryota; Metazoa; Chordata; Actinopteri; Centrarchiformes; Centrarchidae
Exons: 3
Source: RefSeq, a predicted model, not a curated record
UUGUUCUCGUAAAUCCUCUUAUGACCCAAGUAUACAUGAGGCUAUCAUCACUCCCCGGAUCAGGUCCCUUAAGUCCCCACCACUUUUCAAAACAAAGUGACAGCCUUGCCUGUUACACAAAACUAAGAAUUACAAAAAUCCUGACAGUCAACAUCACUAAAUGUACCACUGCACUAUCAGUAGAAACCUUAUAAAGUUGUAAUGUAAAAAAUACAGAAUUAAAAUGGUUACAAAAUAUGACAACUGCUUAAACAAGUAUAUAGUUGCAUCAACAUUUAGUUAACCUGUAAGUUAUAUAAAUUGUUACUUUUUUAAUUAACCCUAUGUUGCCAAGAGUUAGCUAAACCAACGCCAGAUAAGAACACGUUUGUCCGUUCAAUAUGCUGCUACAGCCCAUUAGCUUAGCAUUUAAGUGUGGAAUUAACACGUUAUCACGUUUGUUAAAUCUGUAUAAUAUUUGAACUAAAUUAUGCUAAAGCCGUCUCCUGGCUCAUAGCUUCUUAUUUAAUGGACAGAUUUGAGAGUGGUAGCAGUCUUCUCAGCUAAUUCGGCAGCGAAGCUAACAACCUUAUUUCCCAAAAUGUCGAACUCUUCCUUCAGUAACGUUAGGUUACACAGAGGACACUGUUGCUCCAAAAACUAACACCAGCCCCUGCAGCCAUGUUGGGAUCAACAGCUCCCAAUUCCCUGGGCCAUGCUGUUAACUCUCAUCCUGCUUCCAGGACUGAAUCAUUUUUUGUGAGUAUAACCGACCAAGUAUGAUUAGUUUAUCAAACGCGUGCAUAUGUAUUUCACGAGAGAGAGAGAGAGUCCAAAAAAAAAAAAAAAGUGGUAUGAUUAAUUUACCAGCAUUCCGCAGGGUCAAGGAAAUUGAUGCAGGAUAAUUGGGCACAUAGGGAAUCGUUGGCAAUUUGUGCUUUCAGACUCUACUUGAGAAAUU